CCGUUGCCCUGGAAACGGAUGGAGCCUCACUGGUUUCGAGAGUCGGCGAAGGGUUUGGCUCCGCUCCUGGCCGUUCUGGGGUUACACUCUCCUCGGCGCCUAAACCCCGCCAGAAUAACCACCGUGGAAAUCGGGACUCCUCACUUUUCGCUUUCCAUCGCGCUCUUACACUGAAAACACUGCUCGACUCUGGGAAUCCAGAGACGAAUGAGGCACCGUCCCUGCCUUCAAGUUGCUGACAGUUUUAUGGGGACAGUGUAUAGCAUAUACGUGACAGUACAUGACGGUUCUGAUAUGCAAUCGCGGUCACAAACUCAAAUUCCCAUCGGAGACAGCCAGGAUCCAAUCCAGGUGUGCCAGGUGUCCCCAAGGUCAUCCCCAGUUUCAAUGAUUCAUUGGGACUCAUAGGACUCAGCAUAUAGUCAUCCUCAUGACUAUAUUUUAUUACAACUAAAGGAUACAAAACAAAAUCAGCAAAGGGAAAAGGCACAUAGGGUAAAGUCUGGAGGUGCGAGCUUCUAAGAGUUCUCUCUCAAGGAAGGCACACAGGACAUGCUUAAAUCCUCCAACAAUGAGUCGUACAACAAUGUCAUCUACCAGGCUCCAACCUUCUCAGGGAUCUUGGGUCAUGGCUGAAGCAGUGAGGAGUAGCAAAGAGAGAACUAGAAGUCUGGAGCCUCAGAUUCUGGCCUACUGAGAC
Long non-coding RNA from Orcinus orca (killer whale), 700 nucleotides. RefSeq lists it as uncharacterized. NCBI's taxonomy places the organism in Eukaryota, Metazoa, Chordata, Mammalia, Artiodactyla, Delphinidae. The record is from RefSeq and is a predicted model, not a curated record. The transcript is spliced from 3 exons.